RNAcentral lists this long non-coding RNA (798 nucleotides) under Anas platyrhynchos platyrhynchos (common mallard). RNAcentral describes it as "lncRNA (ENSAPLG00000019458.1)". Lineage: Eukaryota; Metazoa; Chordata; Aves; Anseriformes; Anatidae. The record is from RNAcentral.
AGGGGACCUCUGCAUCAAGUUUUGCCAGUCUGUGAGAUCACACACCUACCGUGGUGUCCGCUUGGAUCACUCCAAAAAGGCUGUGGUGACCCAGACAGAGGGCCUGACCAGAGACGCAGCUAUAAGUCCUCUGGCUGCAGGGAGUGCCUGACCCUGCCUGAGGAGGGGUCAGCCUGUUCUCAGGGGGAAGGUCUGCUCACCGUGGUGGCUGAGCUCAAGGAAGAGGUGGAGAGACUGAGGAACAUCGGGGCAUGUGAGCAGGAGAUUGGCACACCAGCGAGUUACUCCACCAGUCAGAGAGAAGGGUGCAAGGGGGGUGGCCCCCAGGGGGUGGUGGAGCCCCUGCCCUGUUGCUGUUGGGCAGAAGGAGGGGACCAAAAAGACAAGGAGAGUUGGAAGCAAGUACCAGUGUGGUGCCGCAGGCAACUCCCCUCUGUGCUCAACAGACUACUACCAGCUACUGAUCUUCCAGACAGGUACUGCUGCAUGUGUCCUCCGCUGGUGCAGCUUCUGUGUCCUCUCCAACAGAUUCAAUAAGCACUAACAGCACUCCUGGACUAGAACUGCUGGUCAGUCAGAGAGGUCAACUAACUCCAUAAACAUCUGUCCUACUGCAGAGCACAGGGAAGGCUGAAGACACUCUAAACAAUUGUUUUGUCCUCUAUAACAGCUCAAAAUGGAAUAUAAUUAGUCUUCUUUUAUGGCUGCAAAGUAUCCUGCAGAAAAUCCUUUGUGAGCUAUAGAAACUAAUUAUAGUAUAUCUCUUCUGUGAAAAAUUGUGUGUCUGAUGGAAGAUGG